RNAcentral lists this ribosomal RNA (1288 nucleotides) under metagenome. Its description in RNAcentral is "SSU rRNA". It matches the Rfam family "Eukaryotic small subunit ribosomal RNA", at positions 483 to 1786 of the family's 1831-position model. The record is from RNAcentral.
AUGCGGGACUCAUCAGAGGCCUCGCAAUUGGAAUGAGCGCACUUUAAAUCGUUCGACGAGGAUCUAUUGGAGGGCAAGUCUGGUGCCAGCAGCCGCGGUAAUUCCAGCUCCAAUAGCGUAUAUUAAAGUUGUUGCAGUUAAAAAGCUCGUAGUUGGAUCUGGGGUUCGGGUCGGCGGUUUGCCGCUUCGGCGGCUACUGCCGUGCUCGACUCUUACUAGCCGGUGCGUCUUGCGGUGCUCUUCAUCGAGUGCCGUAGGAGCCUGGCAUGUUUACUUUGAAAAAAUUAGAGUGCUCAAAGCAGGCGAUUCCGCCUGAAUAGUGUUGCAUGGAAUAAUGGAAUAGGACCUCGGUUCUAUUUUGUUGGUUUUCGGAACUUGAGGUAAUGAUUAAGAGGGACGGUCGGGGGCAUUCGUAUUUCGGUGUUAGAGGUGAAAUUCUUGGAUCGCUGAAAGACGGACAAAUGCGAAAGCAUCUGCCAAGAACGUCUCCAUUAAUCAAGAACGAAAGUCAGAGGUUCGAAGACGAUCAGACACCGUCCUAGUUCUGACCAUAAACGAUCCAACUAGCGAUCCGCAGUGGUUGCUAUAAACGGACUCUGCGAGCAGCUUCCGGGAAACCAAAGUGUUUGGGUUCCGGGGGAAGUAUGGUUGCAAAGCUGAAACUUAAAGGAAUUGACGGAAGGGCACCACCAGGAGUGGAGCCUGCGGCUUAAUUUGACCCAACACGGGGAAACUCACCCGGUCCGGACACUGUAAGGAUUGACAGAUCGAGAGCUCUUUCUUGAUUCGGUGGAUGGUGGUGCAUGGCCGUUCUUAGUUGGUGGAGUGAUUUGUCUGGUUAAUUCCGAUAACGAACGAGACUCUAGCCUGCUAACUAGUUGCGCCGUGUUCAUACGCGGCUGUAGACUUCUUAGAGGGACAGGUGGCGUUUAGCCACACGAAAUUGAGCAAUAACAGGUCUGUGAUGCCCUUAGAUGUCCGGGGCCGCACGCGCGCUACACUGAAGGAGUCAGCGUGUGCUAUCCGGGCUCGGAAGAGUUCGGUAACCCGUUGAAACUCCUUCGUGCUUGGGAUUGUGGCUUGUAAUUAUCGCGCAUGAACGAGGAAUUCCCAGUAAGUGCAAGUCAUCAGCUUGCGCUGACUACGUCCCUGCCCUUUGUACACACCGCCCGUCGCUACUACCGAUUGAAUGGUUUAGCAAGGUACUCGGAUUGGUCUCGAUCUUGUACGAAAGUGCGGGAUCUGUGGCCGAGAAGAAGGCCAAACUUGAUCAUUUAGAGGAAGUAAA